ACUCCUACGGGAGGCAGCAGUGGGGAAUAUUGCACAAUGGGCGCAAGCCUGAUGCAGCCAUGCCGCGUGUAUGAAGAAGGCCUUCGGUUGUAAAGUACUUUCUAGUCGUGAGAAGGCGGCGUCGUUAAUAGCGGCGUUGUUUGACGUUAGCGACAGAAGAAGCACCGGCUAACUCCGUGCCAGCAGCCGCGGUAAUACGGAGGGUGCGAGCGUUAAUCGGAAUUACUGGGCGUAAAGCGCAUGCAGGUGGUUUUGUUAAGUUCAGAUGUGAAAGCCCGGGGGCUCAACCUCGGAAUUGCAUUUGAAACUGGCAGACUAGAGUACUGUAGAGGGGGUUAGAAUUUCAGGUGUAGCGGUGAAAUGCGUAGAGAUCUGAAGGAAUACCGGUGGCGAAGGCGGCCCCCUGGACAGAUACUGACACUCAGAUGCGAAAGCGUGGGGAGCAAACAGGAUUAGAUACCCUGGUAGGACAGUG
This 475-nucleotide ribosomal RNA is filed under the name uncultured bacterium. RNAcentral describes it as "bacterial SSU rRNA". It matches the Rfam family "Bacterial small subunit ribosomal RNA", at positions 335 to 799 of the family's 1533-position model. The record is from RNAcentral.